GUGUGGCUCAAUGGUAGGGCACUUGCUUAGCAUGUGUGAAGCCCUGGGUUUGAUCCCCAGCAC
RNAcentral lists this transfer RNA (63 nucleotides) under Fukomys damarensis (Damara mole-rat). It matches the Rfam family "tRNA", at positions 5 to 66 of the family's 71-position model. From Rfam's summary of the family: Transfer RNA (tRNA) molecules are approximately 80 nucleotides in length. Their secondary structure includes four short double-helical elements and three loops (D, anti-codon, and T loops). The record is from Rfam by way of RNAcentral. Lineage: Eukaryota; Metazoa; Chordata; Mammalia; Rodentia; Bathyergidae.